This 101-nucleotide ribosomal RNA is filed under the name Clostridioides difficile. Lineage: Bacteria; Bacillati; Bacillota; Clostridia; Peptostreptococcales; Peptostreptococcaceae. The record is from RNAcentral.
UGGUUAUAAUAGCAAAGAGGAUACACCUGUUCCCAUUCCGAACACAGAAGUUAAGCUCUUUAGCGCUGAUGGUACUUGGUGGGAAACUCCAGUUCGAAUCU